This 259-nucleotide ribosomal RNA is filed under the name uncultured prokaryote. RNAcentral describes it as "partial 16S ribosomal RNA". It matches the Rfam family "Bacterial small subunit ribosomal RNA", at positions 524 to 782 of the family's 1533-position model. The record is from RNAcentral.
UACGGAGGGUCCAAGCGUUAUCCGGAUUUAUUGGGUUUAAAGGGUGCGUAGGCUGUUUGAUAAGUUAGAGGUGAAAGCCCGUAGCUCAACUACGGAACUGCCUCUGAUACUGUCAGGCUAGAGAAUGGUUGCUGUGGGCGGAAUGUGUGGUGUAGCGGUGAAAUGCUUAGAUAUUACACAGAACACCAAUUGCGUAGGCAGCUUACUGAGCCGACACUGACGCUGAGGCACGAAAGCGUGGGGAUCAAACAGGAUUAGA